AGUGAACGCUGGCGGUAGGCCUAACACAUGCAAGUCGAACGGCAGCACAGUAAGAGCUUGCUCUUACGGGUGGCGAGUGGCGGACGGGUGAGGAAUACAUCGGAAUCUACUUUUUCGUGGGGGAUAACGUAGGGAAACUUACGCUAAUACCGCAUACGACCUACGGGUGAAAGCAGGGGAUCUUCGGACCUUGCGCGAUUGAAUGAGCCGAUGUCGGAUUAGCUAGUUGGCGGGGUAAAGGCCCACCAAGGCGACGAUCCGUAACUGGUCUGAGAGGAUGAAUCGGCAACAUGGGAAUGAGAAAAGGGCCCGACGUCGAAGGGAAGGAGCAGUGGGGAAAAUUGGACAAUGGGCGCAAGCCUGAUCCAGCCAUACCGCGUGGGUGAAGAAGGCCUUCGGGUUGUAAAGCCCUUUUGUUGGGAAAGAAAAGCAGCAGGUUAAUACCCCGCUGUUCUGACGGUACCCAAAGAAUAAGCACCGGCUAACUUCGUG
RNAcentral lists this ribosomal RNA (492 nucleotides) under uncultured bacterium. RNAcentral describes it as "partial 16S ribosomal RNA". It matches the Rfam family "Bacterial small subunit ribosomal RNA", at positions 29 to 507 of the family's 1533-position model. The record is from RNAcentral.